Transfer RNA from Sphaerobolus stellatus SS14, 83 nucleotides. It matches the Rfam family "tRNA". From Rfam's summary of the family: Transfer RNA (tRNA) molecules are approximately 80 nucleotides in length. Their secondary structure includes four short double-helical elements and three loops (D, anti-codon, and T loops). NCBI's taxonomy places the organism in Eukaryota, Fungi, Basidiomycota, Agaricomycetes, Geastrales, Sphaerobolaceae. The record is from Rfam.
CUCUGGGUAGCUCAGUUGGAAGAGCGUCAGACUGUAAUGGGUAUUUCAUCUGAAUGUUACUGGUUCGAUCCCGGUUCCGGAGA